Molecule: ribosomal RNA, 492 nt
Filed under: uncultured bacterium
Lineage: Bacteria
Description: partial 16S ribosomal RNA
Rfam family: Bacterial small subunit ribosomal RNA
Source: RNAcentral
AGUGAACGCUGGCGGUAGGCCUAACACAUGCAAGUCGAACGGCAGCACAGUAAGAGCUUGCUCUUACGGGUGGCGAGUGGCGGACGGGUGAGGAAUACAUCGGAAUCUACUUUUUCGUGGGGGAUAACGUAGGGAAACUUACGCUAAUACCGCAUACGACCUACGGGUGAAAGCAGGGGAUCUUCGGACCUUGCGCGAUUGAAUGAGCCGAUGUCGGAUUAGCUAGUUGGCGGGGUAAAGGCCCACCAAGGCGACGAUCCGUAGCUGGUCUGAGAGGAUGAUCAGCCACACUGGAACUGAGAAACGGUCCAGACUCCUACGGGAGGAAGCAGUGGGGAAUAUUGGACAAUGGGCGCAAGCCUGAUCCAGCCAUACCGCGUGGGUGAAGAAGGCCUUCGGGUUGUAAAGCCCUUUUGUUGGGAAAGAAAAGCAGCAGGUUAAUACCCCGCUGUUCUGACGGUACCCAAAGAAUAAGCACCGGCUAACUUCGUG